AGUGAACGCUGGCGGUAGGCCUAACACAUGCAAGUCGAACGGCAGCAUAGUAAGAGCUUGCUCUUACGGGUGGCGAGUGGCGGACGGGUGAGGAAUACAUCGGAAUCUACUUUUUCGUGGGGGAUAACGUAGGGAAACUUACGCUAAUACCGCAUACGACCUACGGGUGAAAGCGGGGGAUCUUCGGACCUUGCGCGAUUGAAUGAGCCGAUGUCGGAUUAGCUAGUUGGCGGGGUAAAGGCCCACCAAGGCGACGAUCCGUAGCUGGUCUGAGAGGAUGAUCAGCCACACUGGAACUGAGACACGGUCCAGACUCCUACGGGAGGCAGCAGUGGGGAAUAUUGGACAAUGGGCGCAAGCCUGAUCCAGCCAUACCGCGUGGGUGAAGAAGGCCUUCGGGUUGUAAAGCCCUUUUGUUGGGAAAGAAAAGCAGCAGGUUAAUACCCCGCUGUUCUGACGGUACCCAAAGAAUAAGCACCGGCUAACUUCGU
Molecule: ribosomal RNA, 491 nt
Filed under: uncultured bacterium
Lineage: Bacteria
Description: partial 16S ribosomal RNA
Rfam family: Bacterial small subunit ribosomal RNA
Source: RNAcentral